GCGCAGGCGGUUUUGUAAGUCUGAUGUGAAAUCCCCGGGCUCAACCUGGGAACUGCAUUGGAGACUGCAAGGCUAGAGUGUGUCAGAGGGGGGUAGAAUUCCACGUGUAGCAGUGAAAUGCGUAGAGAUGUGGAGGAAUACCGAUGGCGAAGGCAGCCCCCUGGGAUAACACUGACGCUCAUGCACGAAAGCGUGGGGAGCAAACAGGAUUAGAUACCCAGGUAGUCCACGCCCUAAACGAUGUCUACUAGUUGUCGGGACUUAAUUGUCUUGGUAACGCAGCUAACGCGUGAAGUAGACCGCCUGGGGAGUACGGUCGCAAGAUUAAAACUCAAAGGAAUUGACGGGGACCCGCACAAGCGGUGGAUGAUGUGGAUUAAUUCGAUGCAACGCGAAAAACCUUACCUACCCUUGACAUGGCAGGAAUCCCGAAGAGAUUUGGGAGUGCUCGCAAGAGAACCUGCACACAGGUGCUGCAUGGCUGUCGUCAGCUCGUGUCGUGAGAUGUUGGGUUAAGUCCCGCAACGAGCGCAACCCUUGUCAUUAGUUGCUACGAAAGGGCACUCUAAUGAGACUGCCGGUGACAAACCGGAGGAAGGUGGGGAUGACGUCAAGUCCUCAUGGCCCUUAUGGGUAGGGCUUCACACGUCAUACAAUGGUACAUACAGAGGGCCGCCAACCCGCGAGGGGGAGCUAAUCCCAGAAAGUGUAUCGUAGUCCGGAUUGUAGUCUGCAACUCGACUACAUGAAGUUGGAAUCGCUAGUAAUCGCGGAUCAGCAUGUCGCGGUGAAUACGUUCCCGGGUCUUGUACACACCGCCCGUCACACCAUGGGAGCGGGUUCUGCCAGAAGUAGGUAGCUUAACCGCAAGGAGGGCGCUUACCACGGCAGGGUUCGUGACUGGGGUGAAGUCGUAACAAGGUAACC
This 927-nucleotide ribosomal RNA is filed under the name uncultured bacterium. RNAcentral describes it as "bacterial SSU rRNA". It matches the Rfam family "Bacterial small subunit ribosomal RNA", at positions 569 to 1501 of the family's 1533-position model. The record is from RNAcentral.